GCAUAUCAAUAAGCGGAGGAAAAGAAACCAACAGGGAUUGCCCUAGUAACGGCGAGUGAAGCGGCAACAGCUCAAAUUUGAAAUCUGGCUCUCGGGCCCGAGUUGUAAUUUGUAGAGGAUGACUUUGAUGCGGUGCCUUCCGAGUUCCCUGGAACGGGACGCCAUAGAGGGUGAGAGCCCCGUCUGGUUGGAUGCCAAAUCUCUGUAAGUCUCCUUCGACGAGUCGAGUAGUUUGGGAAUGCUGCUCUAAAUGGGAGGUAUAUGUCUUCUAAAGCUAAAUACCGGCCAGAGACCGAUAGCGCACAAGUAGAGUGAUCGAAAGAUGAAAAGCACUUUGAAAAGAGAGUUAAAAAGUACGUGAAAUUGUUGAAAGGGAAGCGUUUAUGACCAGACUUGGGCUUGGUUAAUCAUCUGGGGUUCUCCCCAGUGCACUUUUCCAGUCCAGGCCAGCAUCAGUUUUCGCCGGGGGAUAAAGGCUUCGGGGAUGUGGCUCCCCUCGGGGAGUGUUAUAGCCCGUUGUGUAAUACCCUGGUGGGGACUGAGGUUCGCGCUUCUGCAAGGAUGCUGGCGUAAUGGUCAUCAACGACCCGUCUUGAAACACGGACC
This 606-nucleotide ribosomal RNA is filed under the name uncultured fungus. RNAcentral's name for it is "eukaryotic LSU rRNA". It matches the Rfam family "Eukaryotic large subunit ribosomal RNA", at positions 38 to 667 of the family's 3401-position model. The record is from RNAcentral. Lineage: Eukaryota; Fungi.